ACUCAAAUGAAUUGACGGGGACCCGCACAACCUGUGGAGCGUGUGGUUCAAUUCGAGACAAAACGAAGGACCUCACCAGGGUUUGACAUGCAAUCGUUUAUUUUCCUGGAAACAGGGAGAAAUCCGCAAGGAUGAUUGCACAGGUGCUGCAUGGCUGUCGUCAGCUCGUGCCGUGAGGUGUUCCCUUAAGUGGGGAAACGAGCGCAACCCCCAUCCAAUGUUAAAUUAUUCAUUGGAAACGGUCCCUGUUUUACAGGGAAGGAAGGAGGGGAAGACGUCAAGUCAGCACGGCCCUUAUACCCUGGGCCACACACACACUACAAUGGCGAACAACAACGGGUUGCAAGCUAGCAAUAGCAAGCUAAUCCCUGAAAUUUCGCCUCAGUUCAGAUUGGGGUCUGAAACCCGACCCCAUGAAGUCGGAAUAGGUAGUAAUCGCGGAUCAGCAAGCCGCGGUGAAUACGUUCUCGGGUCUUGUACACACCGCCCGU
This 491-nucleotide ribosomal RNA is filed under the name uncultured bacterium. RNAcentral describes it as "partial 16S ribosomal RNA". It matches the Rfam family "Bacterial small subunit ribosomal RNA", at positions 899 to 1397 of the family's 1533-position model. The record is from RNAcentral.